AUGUGUUAGAUAUAUGUUAUAUUACAUCACUUUUCUGCCACUGCGUCACAAAUAAUAAGGAUUUAGGUCUGUAUUCACAAUAUCCGUUAGUGGCUUCAUUACUGAACGCGCUUCAAGUGGCUUCUGAAAGCGCUCUGCAGUAAGGAUGAAGUACACAGUGAGAGGAGACAGCUGAAUCACACGGCUACAAUCAGGGUUUGGAAUACAGUAGGAAAGCACAGGGGCGGCAGACGCAGGACCAGUGCGAUAAAAGCCCUUCUGGAGAAGAAGGUUUUGAGUCGGGAUCUGAAGGCUCUCGGGCUCUCCGACAGCCCGACACGCUGGUUCCCGGCUCUAAAGCGCAGCUGUCUUGCAGACGGGCGCUGAAGCGAGCGCACAGCGGGGGCACGCCGCCAAGCAUGGCAGGAGCCCCAGUGGGUGUGGGACCCGCAGCCGCCGCUCGCUGUCGCGGGCGCAUCCGACCGGCCCGCUCCGUCGUGUGGUGCCCAGGCUCGGUUCCCCUUCUCUCUCAGCUCCGCACGUUCUGAGGGGCGAGGCCCACGUCCGCCCUUCCCGGCUCUCUCGCCGGGGGUCCGCUGACAGCUGUUGGCGCCCGCAGCAGGUGUCCUUGCGGGUGAUUAAUGGCCGCCUCAGCCCCCCCAAGGAAGGAACUCCGUGAAAAAAUCCCACUCAUGCGGUAGUGGAUUUCUGCUAUCCCAUGUGACCAUCUGACACUCGCAGAUCCCUCUCCGUGCGUGCAGCCUGCAGACAGACCCCUCGGCUCCCGCCGGCCGCCGCUCUUUCUCGGUUCCAAAGUCCUGCACCUGCUGUCCCGACAGCCUGAUGGGAGCCGCUUGGAAACCGGAGCGCUGCUGGACAAGGAGGCAGUGGAAAUAACCGAGAGCCGAACUCUCUCGGCUCACGAGCUGGAUUCUCCCAUCAUCCCACUCCUGGCGCACUCCUGUUGCCCGUCAAAACACCUGAAAGAACAGGACAGGAGCUGAGUUUGUCUGGCUCAGCUGCUGUGCUUCUCUGCCCAGGAGGGGCAGUGUUCCCUGAGCGCAGAGAUGGAGUGACAGGCCAGGCUGCUGCUGAGGGGACCUUCACCCAUUCUCCAGCUGUUUGCCCUGGCACACGGCUGCUCCAGCACUAGGUAGGACACCAGCGGAGGCGUCCUACCCCCUCAGCACAAAUCGAGG
Molecule: non-coding RNA, 1178 nt
Organism: Lepisosteus oculatus (spotted gar)
Lineage: Eukaryota; Metazoa; Chordata; Actinopteri; Semionotiformes; Lepisosteidae
Source: RefSeq, a predicted model, not a curated record